UAUGGCAGAUUAGUGCUAUGGAUUUAAAUCCCAUAAAUAAAGUUUAUAUUACUUUUAUUAAAA
RNAcentral lists this transfer RNA (63 nucleotides) under Psaenythia sp. LLL-2002. RNAcentral's name for it is "tRNA-Leu". The record is from RNAcentral. Lineage: Eukaryota; Metazoa; Arthropoda; Insecta; Hymenoptera; Andrenidae.